RNAcentral lists this ribosomal RNA (468 nucleotides) under uncultured bacterium. RNAcentral's name for it is "partial 16S ribosomal RNA". It matches the Rfam family "Bacterial small subunit ribosomal RNA", at positions 28 to 507 of the family's 1533-position model. The record is from RNAcentral.
GACGAACGCUGGCGGCGUGCUUAACACAUGCAAGUCGAACGGAAAGGCCCUGCUUUUGUGGGGUGCUCGAGUGGCGAACGGGUGAGUAACAGGUGAGUAACCUGCCCUUGACUUUCGGAUAACUUCAGGAAACUGGGGCUAAUACCGUAUAGGAUCCCCUGCUGCAUGGUGGGCGUUGGAACGUUUCGGCGUGUGGGGAUGGACUCGCGGCUUAUCAGCUUGUUGGUUGGGUAGUGGCUUACCAAGGCUUUGACGGGUAGCCGGCAUGUGAGGGGGACCAGGGACAAGAGGACUGAGAUACGGACCAGACGGCUACGGGAGGCAGCAGGGGGGAGUAUGGCACAAUGAGCGGAAGCGUGAUGAAGAAACGCCGCGGGCGGGAUGACGGCCUGCGGGGUGAGAACAGCUUUAGCCUGUGACGAAGCGUGAGUGACGGUAAUGGGUAAAGAAGCACCGGCUAACUACGUG